This is an RNA transcript of Oncorhynchus gorbuscha (pink salmon), 3181 nucleotides long. It is a transcript of the gene named T-cell surface antigen CD2-like, with no coding region annotated. Lineage: Eukaryota; Metazoa; Chordata; Actinopteri; Salmoniformes; Salmonidae. The record is from RefSeq and is a predicted model, not a curated record. The transcript is spliced from 8 exons.
AAGUAAUGGUGAAAUAAUGUAUAUAUUUUUAAAAGUGAAAACAUUAGUAGGACAUGGAGGUGAGUUGACAUUGUUUACACUGUGCUUAGGUGUAAGCACAAAAUAUUUUUUUUACAUUUCUCUAUUCAGUGACUGAAACUUGUAGAAUGUUUGAACCCAUAUGCUGUGGUUUCAUGACUAGUUGGCCAUUUCCCCAUAGCAGGAAACAGAACUGUCUGAGCGUAUUGACAAAUACACAUUCAUUUUAUGCCAAACUUUCUAGUUUACAAACAUGUCCUCACCCCAUACUCUGAGAGUUUUAACAUCUACUGGUGGGCUUCCAAUGUGGAUGAUGCUUCUUCACCUCUACAUAAGCUAUGUUGUUGCAGAAGACAUCAGAGUAGUUGGACGAGUAGGAAACUCCAUAUUCCUUCACCCUAAAAUGCACUUACACGCCAAGAUCUCUGACAUAAGAUGGAAACAUGAUAAUACAGAUAUGUUAAUAGCUAGAAAUGGUACGCUUGUUCAUUUAAUGGAUAGGUGUGAGAUCUUUCUAAAUGGUUCACUGAAGUUUAAUGAAGGACUGAAAAGAGACAGUGGAAAUUAUACUGUUCAACAAUACAGUGAAAAUGGAGGCCGUUUAUCCGAGCGGCACAUUGAGCUCAAUAUUCUAGGUGAGUUGUUUGAAAUUACACAAUUCUUCAAUUUGUCAGGGAAGUUUUAGCACAAACAUACACGUCUAUGUUGAUUAAAGAGGCAAUCUGCAAUUUGACCAAUAACAGUGUUCACCCAGCCAUUGUUUUGGUAAACAGCUGAGAGAUGGGGUUGUAAAAAUGUAUCCACUCUCAAAUUCAGACUGAGCUAUGGAUGCACAAUAUCAAGAUUACUGUAUUAACAAUGUUUUAAACUAUACAGUUAGUUUACAAUCACAUUGUUUAUAAACAAUGGAGUAAAACAGGCUUAUAUUUUGGUUUCUGGUGGGGUAUGACAGUUGAACUAAGUUCAUGAGGCAUUAAUAAGUAAUAUUCUUCAAGAAUGAAUGGGUAUAUCAUUAAUUUAAGUCCAAAAAUGGAUGUACCCACUUGCAAAUUGCCCCUUUAACAUACGAAUUUGAGUUUUUUUAUUUUGGCUUUCGUUCAUUUAUUGACCAUGAAUGUUAAUUUGCUUAAUUUUGACUGAAAAUAAUAUUCUCUGUUGUAGCUUGUUGAUUGACUUUGCACUGUGUGAGUGUAUAUUUGUGUGACAUGAUUGAUUUACAUUUCAGAACCUGUUUCCAAACCAAAGGUGAGAACCUCCUGUACUUAUGAUGGGAGAGUUGUUCUGACCUGCUCUGUUGAUAAAGGAGACAGAGUUAUGAUGAUCUGGACCGAGCAGCCAUUUGCCUGGACAGGGUCCAAUCAGACCCUGAGCUCAGGUCCUGUUCUAUUCCUGGACAGCCAUACGCCUGGAGACCUGACCUGUGUGGCAAUGAACGAAAUAAGUGAGGAAGGCUUCAGCCCAGUUGUCCCAACAUGCAGAGGUCACAGGUCAGCUGUGGCUGCAUUUGGUCUCUUUGCAUUUGCACUGACGACACUGGCCGUCGCCAUUCUACAUUUGAAGAAGAGGCGUCAGAAAAAGAGAAAAGGUCAAAGUCAGACUGAAUGUACUUGUGGUUGGGAGUUCACACCAAGUAACAUAUGACAUAAAGAAGUGUUCUCUCACUGAUACGCAAGCAGAAGAGAAAUGAUCCCUCUGAUAAUUGUAGUUCUGGUGGCCACAGCGGCAGCACAAGUUAGUGCUAAGUUCUGUAAUCUCACUGAGGAGAGUGGAAAUCAUCAAUGCUAUGGGGCUGUGGGAGAAUGUUUGUCCUUACGUCUGACUGCAAACACAGCUGAAGAAAGGAUUACAUUGAAGAAAGGUGAUAAUCGUAUUCUGAACUUCCAAACUGGAGAAGACUGGAGAUCUAAACUGCAUCAGGAUUAUGUGAAUCGCUCCGAGUUCUUUAAUAAUGGAACAUUCAGACUGGACAGAGUUAUAGAGGAUGACUCUGGAGAUUACCAAUUGGAUAUAUUUAAUUCAGAGGGAACACAGUUGCGGAGAGUCAACAUGCAACUUGAGAUACAAGCCCCGGUGUCAGAGCCAGUGUUGUCUCACCUCUGUCUGCCUCAUGGAGAAACCGUGGCCACAUGCUCCUCAGAGGGAGAUGGUCUUCAGUACAGCUGGACCCUGAAUGGCCAGAAUCUGACCAGGAGUGUAGCCUAUGACCACUACCAGAACAGUGUCAUCAUGCUGAAGAGUGAUGUGACAGGAAACCUGACCUGUAUGGUUCAGAAUAAAGUCAGCAGCAGCAACUCCACUAUUCAUCUACUGGCCUGCCAAAGUAAUGUCAGAACAGUUUCCUUCCCACAAUGUAAGAAUUCAAAUGAAAUUGACUUGCCCGAUAAGAUCAUUUUAUUGAUUGGUUAUUGUUGACACUGUUGAUUAAUCCUACUCUCAGAAUUAUGUUUGUCUCUUCCCAGUUUUCUCCUCCCAGAUUCGUUUUGUAAUUGUGACAGUAGGUAUAGCUCUAGCUGUUGGAACCCUUGUCCUACUUCUUGCGGUGUUUGUUGGCGUAAACCGUCUCUGUGGGAAACUGAGAUUUGGACAUACUACUUCAGGUUGCUCUAAUGAUGAGGGUGAUGCUGUUGUAUACACUGAAGUAUUCAACACAAGAAAGAGAGAAGUCAACCAGGAACCUACAGAGAUGGUGGAGUAUGGAGAGAUCAAAAUGGCUGCCAGUGUUAAUGAGGAAGAAAGCCCCAAGAAUCAGGGGGACAUGGAAAUGACAACCAACCAGACAUAUGACACAUCUUUUCUGACAACUUUCGGCAGGACUUAGUAGAAACCAAACAUGUAAGAGUGUAUUACUCCCUUGUAUAUGUUUGUGUUGUCAUUUGAGUCUAUGAAAAUGUGUAUUGCUUCAAAUCUUGAACUUUUAACCCUUUCAACCAUACCUCUUAACCAAAUGGAGGGACGUUGGUCUGAAACAACAGAUGACUGUUAAAUAUCUUAAUUUUAUGAUUGUGUGAUGUUUACAGUGUUUGGGAUCUUUUGCAAUAUUGUGUGUUUGCCAUCCAUUCUCCUUCAUUUGCUGCUGACUUGGGAUUGUACUUUACCUGGCAAUGUCAGAGUGUUAAAUACUAAACGUAGGAGAGAAACAUUGAUGAACAUGAUAGCUUAACUU